UUGUGAAAAUGUAAAAACGUGCAGGGGGUGUAUGAAUACUUAUGCAAGACUCUGUACACAACGGGUUAGCAUUACUGAUGGGUAUUAUUGGGGUGAAGUUUCUUUAUUUUGGGAUACGAACACAACACACACAGAGCAGAAGUGUUGGCUGCCACUGUGCAUUCCUUAGCAGAAUGCUGCGAUUUGAAACGGGUAAAGUGAAACGGUGAAGGACACCUUGUGUGAGCUAAACUUGGAAUCAGAAAUAAAAUCUCACGGAUAAGUAGUUUUGUGAUGUGGUAAAGGAUCUUUUUGAGUUAUUUUUUAUUUUGGAUUUAUUUAUGAAAAGUUCAUUUUAAUGAGCAACAGGUUCUCAUUUUCAAGAGCCACUUGUUACAUUAAGGAACAAAAAACAAGUUUAAACAAAACUUUACACUCAUUUAGUUUCCUCAAGGGUAAAAACACUACA
Poecilia latipinna (sailfin molly) is the source of this 448-nucleotide long non-coding RNA. RefSeq lists it as uncharacterized. The record is from RefSeq and is a predicted model, not a curated record. Lineage: Eukaryota; Metazoa; Chordata; Actinopteri; Cyprinodontiformes; Poeciliidae. The transcript is spliced from 4 exons.